AGGGUAAGGGGCUUCCAACCACACCUGGGCCACAGGCCCCUUCAUAGACCAAGAGUCCUUGUAGCGGUCCCAGCGUCUUAGCUGUGGGUGUGGGGGCUCCUGAGUGAAACUCGGGAGGUCCCGGAAGGAGGGGGCGAGGCCCUCAGCAGCUGUGGAGUCUGUGCCCUGAGGCCCCACACUGGGAACUGGGGACGAGGAGACGGGGACGCGGCCCGGGUCUUGACCUCCUCAGGCUCACCAGACACUGCGUUCAGGCCUCCGGGACGGUCCUGGUGGGGCUCGGCCCCCCUCGUCCUGCGCCUCCUCUGGGCCCGCGGGUCCCCAGCUCCCCCAGCCCCGCCGCGGGCCGCACCUCUCUGGACGGCGCUGUCAGGAGUAGGAGUUCAGCCCCAGCGCAUCCGCGCCAGGACCCGGGCUCUGUGGCCACUGAGUGCAGAACACGCCGAGCUUCGGAGGUCUGGGAGUUCCAAGUGGAAUUUGAAUUUUUAAUCUAAUUGUCUGAUUCGUGAACUCGGAAGCUGACGUCACGCCCAGACGUCCCAAGGUAUGAGCUGUAGAUACGCAUGUGAGCGCUGGUGGGAGACGCCAGGCUGGGAUUUCCGCUCGAUCUGGGAAUGAGCAAUGCAACCUAAUGACACCCGGAGCUCCUGAAUCACCUGGGGAAGAUGAAGAGAGACACUCUCUGGUGGGAACGUCUCCUAGAAACAAGGCCUAAGAUGGGGCGACCACAGCCCCACAGCUGUGUCCAGAUGCAGGGAGCACUCGCCUGUGCUGUGAGGGACGGCCGGUGUCAUCGUUGGAGCUUCCUAAGACUCCCAGAGGCUGAUGCACCUCCCAGACCCGCCUCCGCCCGGCUCCCUGGGCCCUGCUCCAGGGGCUUCAUUGCUCCCUGCCCCGGGUCACCCCUCGGCUCACCGUCUCUCAGGUGUGGAAUAUCCUGCUCCAAUCAAAGCCAUGUCACCUGCGUUGUCCAGUGAAACGUCAGCGGACAGGCGCUGCCCGGGCUCCAGGGAGCUCCUCACUGAGGCUCACUCCCUGUGCCUCUGCCAUCAGCACAGGGGGACAUGCCUGGCUGCCUGUGGGACCAGGGAGGACGCGCGGUGCGGGAGCAGAGCCAGCCACACUGCCGCUGCUGCACUGUUCAUCUGAGUGGCGCAAGUUCCAACGUCGCACGGUGGGACUCUGGACAGGGUCCUCCCUCUCCAUCUUCCCCUCGCUGGGACCCAGCACGGCACAGGAGGGGCGGCCAACACCAUUUAGACAUCAGAACUGUCCAGAGUGUUCUGCCCUCUGUCUUAAGUCACGACCCCGGAUUCCCCAGGCAGCCACACACAGCGGUCUACACCGGGAGAAAGUCGCCGUGAGAACCGUGGCACCGCAGGAGGCUGUGCGUGUUUGCUUUUGUUGAUCUGUUUAACUGCAGCCCGAUUUAUGUUUCUGGAUCCUGGAAUUGAGUUGACACUAUCGGUAGUAUGAAAGUGACAGACACCAGGAUGAAGUCACUCUUGUCAGACCCAGAGGAAACAGGGUCAGGAGGCCUGGGGGAGGGGAGGACGCUGCUGCGUGUCUGAGAUCAGAGCUGUUUCCAAGGACUUUCUGAAGCCCCACAAGAAGGCCCUCUGCGUCCGUCGCGCAUCUCCGGCCUGGCGGGGCUUGCGUGGCUCACACGUACACGCAUUUCUACGGCCAGGGUUAUCUAUCACCAGACAUUCUUGAGGACUGCAGUGAUUCUGAUCAGAUGCUCUCAAAAGACCACUUCCCAGUGACAACACCUCCUUCAAGAAACCGACAGCAUUCUGGCUGUGGGUCCCUGGAACCAGUGAACUGUGUCAGAGCAGCUCAGGCGAACUUCUCCCCUGUGCCAAUGAAAGCUUUUUCUUACCCUACCUCACUGGAGGCA
Molecule: long non-coding RNA, 1900 nt
Filed under: Homo sapiens (human)
Lineage: Eukaryota; Metazoa; Chordata; Mammalia; Primates; Hominidae
Description: non-protein coding LINC01257:1
Source: RNAcentral